Molecule: ribosomal RNA, 253 nt
Filed under: uncultured bacterium
Lineage: Bacteria
Description: partial 16S ribosomal RNA
Rfam family: Bacterial small subunit ribosomal RNA
Source: RNAcentral
UACGUAGGGUGCGAGCGUUAAUCGGAAUUACUGGGCGUAAAGUGUGCGCAGGCGGCCGAGCAAGUCGAGUGUGAAAGCCCCGAGCUUAACUUGGGAAUUGCGCUCGAAACUACCUGGCUGGAGUGCGGCAGAGGAAGGUGGAAUUCCAGGUGUAGCGGUGAAAUGCGUAGAGAUCUGGAGGAACACCGAUGGCGAAGGCAGCCUUCUGGGCCAACACUGACGCUCAUGCACGAAAGCGUGGGGAGCAAGCAGG